UUGGUCAAUAGCCUAACGGCUGAACCAGCAACUUGGAAGAAUGAAAAUAUGAACUAUGUUCAUUAUAGUUCUAGAUAAAAUUAUGAUAAUGACAUUUUUUAUCUAUUAGUCUUGACAAAGUCACGUGCCAGCAGUCGCGGUAAUACGUGGAAGACAAGUGUUAUUCAUGUUUAGUAGGUUUAAAGGGUACGUAGACAGUCUAUCAAGCUUAAAUCAAGUACUAAUAGACUAGAGUUUUAUAAGAUGAAGUAGAACGGUUAGGGUAGAGAUGAAAUUCUGUGAUCCAACUUAGAAACGUAUAACGGCGAAGGCAACUUUUUAUGUAUAAACUGACGUUAAGGGACGAAGGCUCAAAACGUAUGAAUAGGAUUAGAUACCCUAGUAAUGAGAGCAGACAAUGAUGAAUGUCAUAUAUAAGAAAACUUUUUUUUUAAUUAAAGAGUGUUAAUCUAUUUAAAUAUUAAUAAAAAUUUUUAUGUAUAAAUGAAAGUGUAAGCAUUCCACCUCAAGAGUAAUAUGGCCUCAUAGAAACUGAAAUCAUUAGACCGUAUCUGAAACCAGUAGUGGAGUAUGUUGUUUAAUUUGAUAAUCCACGUAAAACCUUACCACAAUUAUUUGAAUAUAAAUAUAUAAGUAUAUUUUUACAAGAGUUGCACGGCUGUCUUUAGUUAAUGUCGUGAGAUUUUGGUUAGUUCCAUUAAAUUAACGUAAACCCUUAUUUUAUUUGUUAUAAAAUAGUUCCCCGAUAUAUUGGAAUAUGAUAGAAGGGAUUAAGACAAGUCAUCAUGGCCUGAACAUUGU
Molecule: ribosomal RNA, 801 nt
Filed under: Karstenia rhopaloides
Lineage: Eukaryota; Fungi; Ascomycota; Lecanoromycetes; Ostropales; Stictidaceae
Description: SSU rRNA
Rfam family: Bacterial small subunit ribosomal RNA
Source: RNAcentral